AAAAAGAAAAAAAAAGAAAAAAUUAGAAUAAAGCCUAUAUGGUCUGAACUGUAUCUGUAUAGACAUGCAUAUUGCAUCAAGUGUCUCGUUAGACUUUUUAUCUCUAAGGGGUAUCUGUUCCCCUUGCUCUUCAUGGUAUAUAUUUCCCCCACCUCUAUCUGGUCUGAAAAGACGUAUGAGAACCGCUCUUAGUAGAUGACGACAUGUCUUCUGACGAGAGUCGUAUCGCACUAUCUUUAUGGGUCCCCCGUGGCUAAAUAAUAUCGUGACUAUAGACUAUCUGUUAGGACCACUAUGGUUGGUACGUUCGUGGUCAUAGAUCGUACCAUGGUUUGGCCAGUCGGAAGUGGGCCUGAGUAAAUUGCCGUAUCUGUAUUUAAUCUAGUCAUUCCACUUGGAUAGUUGGAAAUCUAUAUCUGUAUCUGCCCUCAGAAAUGAAAGUCUGUAACGACUUCGUGAAGUAUGACACGAAAAAUCUGUACAUUUCAUAAUUUAUUUGAUUUUCUGUGCUAAUGUACUAUUUUGAUAUUCAAAUAAAUAUUUUUCCAAUGAUGAGUUAGGUAAACGAGGAAGCUGAACGGUGAGAAAAAUAAUAAACUUUUCAAAUCUUAUGAUGUUAAUUUAAUAUUGUUUUUCUUAUUAAACAUAUGAAACUCAUUCUUUCUAUCCCCCCUAAAUGAGGAAGAAAAUGAGGAACUGCAGGCAAACCUACCAUUAGAAGUCUAUGAAGAUCCCAUAGAUCCACAAAUCUAAGUGCAUGUCUGUUUCCGUACUCUGAUGAAUUACAGUAGCCUA
This 795-nucleotide long non-coding RNA is filed under the name Carica papaya (papaya). RNAcentral describes it as "long non-coding RNA (CPAP_LNC007859)". The record is from RNAcentral. Lineage: Eukaryota; Viridiplantae; Streptophyta; Magnoliopsida; Brassicales; Caricaceae.